Non-coding RNA from Camelina sativa (false flax), 471 nucleotides. NCBI's taxonomy places the organism in Eukaryota, Viridiplantae, Streptophyta, Magnoliopsida, Brassicales, Brassicaceae. The record is from RefSeq and is a predicted model, not a curated record.
GUUAAAAUCCUGCAUAAAUGGAUAAUAUAAUGUCAGAUCUAUCCAGCCAAAUAAAGAAUGAUGGAUCUGAUGAGAAAAGCAAAGGUAACUCUUUCACUUUCAAGCUUCACCUCAUCCUAUGAGCUUUGUUGGAAAGACUCCAAUGGACAAUCUAAGCACUCUUUCACAAGCAAAAAGCAACGGCAUAAAACAAUUACACAAAUCCUUUGAUACGCUUCACACAACAAGGUGACAAAAUUAUGUGUUAAUGAUGUUUUGUUCUGUUCUUAUUUUGUUAUUUUUUGUUAUCUAGAAAAUCAAUCUAGACGAUCUGUGUUUACAAUAAAAUUUUAUCAAAUAUGAUCUAUAUAUUGACAUUUGUUUUCAGGACAUCUAUACUACAGCAUAUGUUCAUAUGUUCUAAUCAGGUAUGUACAAAAAUUCAAUCAAUAUAUAUGACCUAUUCAUGUUUUUUUUAUGUGUGUACGUACA